Molecule: ribosomal RNA, 104 nt
Filed under: Pteropus alecto (black flying fox)
Lineage: Eukaryota; Metazoa; Chordata; Mammalia; Chiroptera; Pteropodidae
Source: RNAcentral
GUCUGAGCAGAGACUCACUUGAAAAUUCGGCUCAAGCUAAGCAGGGCCGGGUCUGGUUAGUACUUGGAUGGGAGACCACCCAGGAAGACCAGAUGCUGUAGGCG